Molecule: long non-coding RNA, 5964 nt
Organism: Hordeum vulgare subsp. vulgare (domesticated barley)
Lineage: Eukaryota; Viridiplantae; Streptophyta; Magnoliopsida; Poales; Poaceae
Exons: 2
Source: RefSeq, a predicted model, not a curated record
UCGACCCCGCAUUCCCCCCGCGGUGGCUGGAUCGACCCUCGUUUCUCCCUCGUCUCACCAUUGGUUCGAUCCCCUUUCACCGGAGCCGUCCGCCUCCACGUCGUCGUCGUGGGGAGGUGCUGCUCCGUGUGUCCUCCCUCCUGAUCUCUCGAGCACCACCGGCUAUCUCCAUCGUGCUCUCUCCCGCAGCAGGCUGCCGAUCCCGGAUCCAGUGUCAUCUGGGUUUCCUCAUCAAUGAUAACAUCGGCUUGGCCUUCCUCGCGGCGGACGGGCGGAGGCGUGGCGGCAGCAGCGGCGGCGCAUCAGGAGCGACGUCGCAGCAGCACAUCGCCUCUCCACCACAGCUUCUCCUCUGAAGGCCACGCCUUCGGUCGUGAGCAGCUCUCUAUUAAUCUCACCAAAUAAUGGUGAUUUGCAGUUAUACUACAACCGCCAGCCUCUGCAGCCUAUCCAGCCCGCGUUGCUGUCGAAGGAGGAACCAUUGGAUCUCAUUGAGGAUUUAGAGUUUGAGAUACUCGACAGCUAGCAAUAAUAAGAGAUCGUGGUUGAUCUCCCUGAAUUCAUUAAUUUUCUUUCAUUACCCUACUACCAUUCACGUGGUGUGUAAACGGCGGCCUUAGUGGUGGUGACAAGUGCAGCUACUACGAGUUGGGCUUCCACAUCUAUGAUCUAAUAGCACUCGAUGCAAAAGCUAACAGCGCCUACCCAGCUUGAUAGUGGAUUGGAUUUAUUAUCAAACCUGAUAUGCUAUUUUGUCAAGGUCUUAUUAUGUGAUACACUAAUGGUAUUAUUUAUGGCAUUUUUUAGUCGAGAAGAGGUAAUUCCAAUCAAUAUGUUUCAGUCAUUUGCUCCUAUAUAAAAGUGUACUCCCAUCUCUGGGAGCAUAUACCGCCUUUCUAAUUUUUUAAGCUUUUGCUAAGUCAAGGCCUGCAGUUAAUUACAAGCUAUAUUUAGUAUACAUAGGAUGAUAUGCGGAAAUAAACUCGUUAUGCAGCUAUUUUUACGGUGUGACAUUUUCCCUUUUCAUAGUCAUUUUUGGUGCAGGAAUUGUUAAUUAACGCCGCCGCUUCUGUUUCGCCUCCGACCUGAAGCUGCAUGUUUUCUAUAUCCAAGAUGUAACCAUCACCACUCUAACACGAGAGUUGACCCCUUUUAUCUCUGUCAACGGCAUCAAUACCAGCAACCAACAGUUGGGUCGGCGCCUCGGCGGUAGAUACGCUGUCGGUAAAGUUGCUGCCCUCUACAUCACUAUGUUAUGAUGUUUGGUGAUUGUGGAUUUGGGUAUGAAGAUGCGGAGGCACGCACAAAUUUUUAUGCUUGGUUUGUAGGAAUUGUGUGUGCUGCCUAAUCAAUUGUCUCCAUACUGAUAGGAUCUGAACCAGUGGGAUUUAUACAUUUUGUCUAAUCCUCUUACGAAUUAUUUUUUGAUACAUGAGAAGAUGAUUAACAAGGUUAGUGGGUAAAUACCAAUCUUCUUAUUUAAAAGUGAAAAAUACUGUUGGUCUGGCAGUACAUUUUUCUGUAUAUGAUGGCUGAUGAAUAACCUGAGUUGUGAUGCUUGUGCGUUUGGCAUGGUGCAGCAAGAAUUCCUACUUGUGCUUUUCAAGAUUAGUAAGACCGAGGCUGAUCGUGUAAGUCCACAUUGCAUCUGUGUACUCGAAUUUGUUGUUUGUAUUGUACAAUUUAAAUGUCCUUUUUUGUAUUCUAAUGUAAUUACUGGAGUCACUAUCACUCUCACCCUCUUUUUUUCAUGUUACUUGACCUUGGAGAUAAAUAACACACUGUUUAACAUUAUGUAGGAGUCAUUUGCAGUGGACAAGAGGAAUCAUUGCACUCAAUAAUUAACAUUUUUUUCUUGUCUGUGAGGAGCAUAUCAUGAGCUUACUGUAGCAAGUGCCAUUAGGCUGCAUAGUCCAUCGUUGCAACUGCUGUUUUUGUGAAGCUUACUAUAGAUUAUAUGUUUCAGGUACAAAUCUGUUGGCUCAAGUACCAUCGGAGAUUUCAUCGGAUUAUUUGUGUCUCAAUGUUUCCCUAUUAAGAUCCAACAUGUAUGUGUGCCCUUUAUUGAUUGGAUAACCCAAUUAACUAAGGAGCCGUCUCUCUUUUUAGUAGGCUCUAAACAGUGUAAAUAGCAUUAUUAGCGAACACUGAUUGGAAAGGUAUGUAACACUCUUUCUCGCGGGCACCCGUGUCGUCCUCCUCCCUCCCCCCCGGGCGGCCCGGGCGAAACCCUAGCCAUCAGGAAGCUCGUCCUCCCAGAUCUCCUCCUCCCUCGCCGUCAGGCAAAGCCCGCGGGGCGACGGCGGAGGCGGGGCCCUUCGUUUUUCCCUCUGGCGAGGUCUUGGCAGUACGGGGCCGCCCGACCGAGGAGAGGCGUGGGGAGCUCGACGAGCCAGUGCCGGUGGACGCGUCGGGCGCGAAGUCAUGGUGCACGGCGGGCGUUGGCUGGCGCGGCGAGAUGUGCGGCGGGCGCGACAUGCUGGCGCCAUGGCGCUUGGCAGGGUGCGGCGGGCACGUGGGCGCGUUGCGGUUUGCUUAGGCUGGCAUCCGUGCGAUUGCUGCUCGUUCGCGUGCCGUGGGGAUGUAGGGCACUGCAGCUAGGCGGGCCAGAUUGGCCUCUCCCAGCUUGUGGCUAGAGUGCCUGGUGAGAGAUGGCUUCAGGUGCCAUUGAAUCAUGGAUGCGUUGCGCGUCUGGUUCGGCUGCCUUUGGCGUGUGGUGGCUGUAGCGGUGGUGUUGGGGAGUGGUGGUGGUGUCCCUCCUUCAAACGCGUCCACGCAUGGCUCCUAGAGCUGUGGCGCCAUCCAGUUUGUCAGGUGUUGCAUGAGUCUCGGACAGACCAGAUCCAGCAUGAAUGUUCCUUUUCUUGCAUGCGGCGACGGGAGCUGCGUAGUUUUGCUUGGAUCCCGCUUAGUCCUGCGCGCGGCGGUGCGGACCGGCUAUGUUUGGCUCUCCUUCGAGCUUUCAUGUGCACUGCGGUGCGGAGGAUUGCCCAGUUCUGCGCACGGAGGUCGAAGUUGGCCAGAUCCGGCUUGUCUCGCCCAAGCCAUGCGAGCGGCGGUGCGGACCAGUCAGGUUGGCGCAUGCUCGCGGAGUUUUCUGCGUCCGGCUUCGACCAUUUCGUUUCUGGUAGUGUUUGCUUGGUCUUGUGCUCCUACUUGGCGCUGGUGGCCUCGGAUCCCGGGAUUGUUGGUGGAAGGCCCGACUCCGGAUGAAAAUCUUGUAUCGACUCGGUCAUUGCCAGCGGUAAUGGCACCCUCGGGUGUCGUCUUCCUUGUUGGAGGUAACGUUGUGGAGUCGUUCGUCCUUCCUACCAAAUAGCGUGAGAUCUCCAGGUGAAAACCUAAGAUCAGGCAGGGCCAGAUCGGGUGACGACGGUGUCUUAAACAUCGUUUUCCUCCUUCGAGGCAUCACCUUGGAGAUCCCGACGAUGGAUUCUGAUGGUGUCCUCGAUUGAAGGUAGAGUAUGGGUUUGUGGUGUUGCGGGCGGGUCUUUUUCUUUCUUUUGUUUUUUGCGCUACCUUUUGCAGUGCUUUCCUCCUCGGAGGGCUCUUGUUACACCUUCUUUUGAUCAAUGAAUUUGGCAGUUCAACUAUCGACAUUAAAAAAAAGGUAUGUAACAUACUUUAUAUUUGAGUGAAAAAUACUCUUAAGUUUGAUUUUCACAUUGUGCUAACAUAAACUUUUAACUUUCAUUUUGACACUACGCUAAAAAAGAUAACUUGCUUAAUUACAAUGACCUAUGUUUUUGGAUUCAACCGUGCAUUUUGGCAUUGAUAACCUCAUAGUUGAACAACCUGAUGUGGCUGGUGCAACGAAAAAGACUCCAUCGAUCUCUGCGCCACCAUCAAAGACAUCGAGUGACUAUACCGCAUCACUAUCUGGGUAGAAAAGGUUCUUGAUGUGUUCGAACGAGAUCGUGGCAGCUCUUCCUGACCUGAUGAUGUGCUCUAUGCUCUUCCCUCGAAACAAAGACUUCCAUAUUAAUCCUUAUCACUAUUUUUUGGUGUGGCCUAAGGAACAAAAAAUACUUCUCCUGAUGGAGUAGCCCCAAAACACAACAUGCUGUACCGUACAGUGGUACUAAAAUCUUGCAUCUCCCGUAUGCUAAUUCUUAGUAUGAAUUUAUGCUUAAUUUAUGCUUAGUAUGAUUAGAUGGACAUAGAAGAAACUAGCGGGGGGAUGGCGCGGCGGCACGCCGCGCCCGUCAUUGAGAUUUGUUGAUAGUGAAUGGGAUGGCAAUUAUUAUUAUCAUUGUAUAUUUUAGGGUGCAUUUUAGGUGAACAAUAUUCGAUAUAUUUGGAUGAACGCGGGGAGCAUAACUUAGCUUUUACUUUAUAACAAGGUCAUUGGAGCUGACACAAUCAUACAUAGAAAUUCUAUGUAGCAUGGCAUUACAUCUAUGACGAUCAUAGAUUAAGUACAUCUAUGACGAUCAUAGAUUAAGGUUGUGCUUAUACAUAGGGGAUCAACUACGGAACAAACUGGUAGGCUACAGGCAGCCCAAGUGAUAGCUGUAGUUCAAAAGAGGCAGGAAGUUCAGAUGAAAAGAGGUACACAUAUGUUUACAAUACUAAGAACGGUGGUUCUUCAGUGUUGGGGUCUGCCAUGGUGGGAGCGUAGUUUGAUUUAUCUUAGAAUUUGGUGUGUGGAGCUCCUUCGUCACUUGGAUGGCAGUCGUUGGAGCUGACACAAUCAUACACAGAAUAGGUAGCAUGUCAUUACAUCUAUGACGAUCAUAGAUUAAGUACAUCUAUGACGAUCAUAGAUUAAGGUUGUGCUUAUACAUAGGGGAUCAACUACGGAACAAACUGGUAGGCUACAGGCAGCCCAAGUGAUAGCUGUAGUUACAAAGAGGCAGGAAGUUCAGAUGAAAAGAGGUACACAUAUGUUUACAAUACUAAGAACGGUGGUUCUUCAGUGUUGGGGUCUGCCAUGGUGGGAGCGUAGUUUGAUUUAUCUUAGAAUUUGGUGUGUGGAGCUCCUUCGUCACUUGGAUGGCAGUCGUUGGAGCUGACACAAUCAUACACAGAAUAGGUAGCAUGUCAUUACAUCUAUGACGAUCAUAGAUUAAGUACAUCUAUGACGAUCAUAGAUUAAGGUUGUGCUUAUACAUAGGGGAUCAACUACGGAACAAACUGGUAGGCUACACGCAGCCCAAGUGAUAGCUGUAGUUCAAAAGAGGCAGGAAGUUCAGAUGAAAAGAGGUACACAUAUGUUUACAAUACUAAGAACGGUGGUUCUUCAGUGUUGGGGUCUGCCAUGGUGGGAGCGUAGUUUGAUUUAUCUUAGAAUUUGGUGUGUGGAGCUCCUUCGUCACUUGGAUGGCAGUCGUUGGAGCUGACACAAUCAUACACAGAAUAGGUAGCAUGUCAUUACAUCUAUGACGAUCAUAGAUUAAGUACAUCUAUGACGAUCAUAGAUUAAGGUUGUGCUUAUACAUAGGGGAUCAACUACGGAACAAACUGGUAGGCUACAGGCAGCCCAAGUGAUAGCUGUAGUUCAAAAGAGGCAGGAAGUUCAGAUGAAAAGAGGUACACAUAUGUUUACAAUACUAAGAACGGCGGUUCUUCGGUGUUGGGGUCUGCCAUGGUGGGAGCGUAGUUUGAUUUAUCUUAGAAUUUGGUGUGUGGAGCUCCUUCAUCACUUGGAUGGCAUAUCUUGAGCCUUCUCUUGACCAGCUUCAGCUUUUUCUUGAUCACUUUCUUUUUCUUGAUCACUUUCGAAGGUGAAUUACUGCUUGGCGACGUGGCUGUUUAUAAUGAGGAAGUGCUAUGUGAGCAAUUAGUACAAAUAGUUGAUUGAAGAUCCUCUAAAAUGUAUGUUCUAACCUCUUUUUACGAUCAGGUGGUGAGAGUCCGUCCUUGUUUUGUUGUCUCUUCUUGCUUUGUGAAGUGGGCGUUUCGUCUAAUGACUGUAAGUAAGCAAGUGGAUUAAGUAAACUAAGAUGACUACUUGAAUACUUA